RNAcentral lists this transfer RNA (73 nucleotides) under Agrilus planipennis (emerald ash borer). It matches the Rfam family "tRNA". Rfam says of the family: Transfer RNA (tRNA) molecules are approximately 80 nucleotides in length. Their secondary structure includes four short double-helical elements and three loops (D, anti-codon, and T loops). The record is from Rfam by way of RNAcentral. Lineage: Eukaryota; Metazoa; Arthropoda; Insecta; Coleoptera; Buprestidae.
CCUCUCGUAGCUUAGCGGUUAGGGCACUGGUGCGUAAAACCAAAGGUACGGGGUUCGAUUCCCGGCGAGAAUG